CUAGCUGCAGGCUGUUCAUUGACUGUACGUUCUCCCUGUCCCACUCCUUUCUCCAAAAGAGUAUAGGCUGCAUUAAUAGAAUGGCUCUGUGUUUGCCUUAGGCCAACAACAGGAUUGCAUCCCAGCAAAAUGACAGAAAUGUAGCAAACUCAUGGAAAGUAUCACAGAUGCUAAGCCUUUUCUCUUUAGUAGGAUAAUACUACUACUUCACACUUACAUAGUGUCUUGCAUCUUAAAAGCACUGUACAAACAUUGAGAGACAGGUUACGUAACCUCAAAUGACAGAUAUAUCCUAGCAAUAUGGUUAUAGUCUGCCACAGAUGGAAGAUUGUCAACAGAAAGAUUGGGGGGGGGGGGAGUUGAUAGUCUAGGUCAUGUUAGUCAUCAAUGAAAAAAAAUACACUCUGCAGAAAUUUCUCACUAUAACCCAGAUUUAGGGAAUUUAUAACACGGGAUAAGGGGCAGUGACUUUUGCAAAAUUUGAGGGUUUUUGUUUUUUUUUUUAACGAAAUCUUCUAGCCUUUCUGGUUGUGAAGAUAACCUUCUGGAUGUGCACUGUUUUCUUCCAAAGUCUCCCUGGGAAAGACAUUUCACAGGAAGAAGGUUUCAAGCUUUUACAGAUACAACUAAAUGAAUGUUCUAGCAAAUAUUGCAAUGAUCUGGUCUUCAAUGUAUCAGUCUGGCAGAAGGCGAAAGAGAAAAUAACAUGCAUGGGGAGUCAGAAGAUCUAUAGAGGAGAUUAGGUGUGAAAAGGUCCCUUUUAUAAAACAAUAUUCAAAUACACUAAAAUUAGGAUUUUCAUGGGUGUUUUUUUUUCAAUUAAUUUGCCAAAGGUAAUCCAGAAGUUAUGCCCAGAAUUAUUUCCAGUACAUUUCCAGCGGCCCUCUCUUGUAACUGUUUAUGUAUUUCUUAAGGCAAAUAGAACAGGCAGAUCUAAUGAACUCAGUCUUGGAAAAAGAAACAUUAAACGCAAACUGGCUGGAGUCAACCAUACUUCAAACUUCUGGAAAAUAUAAUGCAUGUAUAGUAAGUCUAGGUGCAGUCCUCUGCCACACUUUCUUGGGAAAAGAGGAAGAAGAAAGAGCUGAUGUAUAUUCAAUCUAAAUAAAUAAACAAUCAGACAAAACCCUAUUAAACAAGAAGAUAAUAUCUAGAUAAUAGCAGAAAGCCCUAUCACAAUAUAUAGAAAAUAUGCCUACUUUGACUACUUUCCUGCCAUGCAGCAAAAUCCGUCACGCGGUGGCUGGAAGAACUGAUGGUACAAUAGAGACCAAGAGCUAUGACAGAUUAUGGAGCUAUGACAUUUCUUUGUUUUUCCAGCUGCCAUAAAACUGGUUUUAUUUACUUAAGUAUAUAAAAGUCACAUGAGGGUCACCCUUGUGUAAGAUAGGAAACCAUAGCAAAGUUGUGAACGAGAGUACGUGAUCUAGGAACAGGAAAAACUAACAUUUAAUUUUGGGAUUUGCAACCAUUGGCCUCCAAUGCCAGUGGAACAGAACAAUUCCAGUCUGUCCCAGUACAGAAAUACGAUCUGUGCACAAAUUACUAAGGUAAACAUCAUUAGCAUUCUGUAUAACACUGACUGUUCUUUCCUGCUUCUGGGGCUGUUUUAAACCAUGUUCUUCUGCAAAGCUGUACUUUUCUAGCCCACAUACAUGUUAGUAACCUCACAAAGUAGUACUUUGACCAUAAUUAAUACAAGUUACCUCUCAACUGCUCACUAUUGAAAGACUAGUCGAGAUCAUCACAACAAAUCAAGAAGUCUGCCUCUGGUGACAAUAUCAAGCAACCAAACUGAUUAUCUUCCACACUCUUCUCUGCAGAAUCUAAGACGGUUUUCUAAUGUUCUCUAGCUUUUCUUUCUUCGUUAAUUCCCUAUUUUAUAUUACCAGAGUGGAACAUUUGUUUUAAAAACAGAUUUAUCUUCGUUUCGGGAGCAAAGCAUUAUAACUAGAAAUAAUUUUAAAGUUAAAAUAUGUAGGAAAUUCACACUUAAUUCUUCAAGCACAGGCAGGCAGAGUCCAAAACACCAGAUGUUAGAAAUAAGGAAGAAAACGUUUCAAGACUGAGAUAUUGUGCAUUACACAAUUCCCUUACAAACCGUUAAAGGAGAGUUAUAAAUCUAUGGAAAUCAGCUUCUGGUCACAAGUCAAAAAACUAAAGGCUACUUUAAAUUCAAAUUUAAGUAAUAUAUGUGCAAUGCUUUUCUUAAAAUUAGCUUUUUAAGAUUAUAAAGUGCCUUGUGAUUAUUGAGAAGGAUGCCAGAAGGGCGUACUACACUGCAAAUGUUAAUACAACUUUAACUAUGUUGGUGCCAUUAUAAUGACAUCAUUCAAAAGUCUACACAUGCUAUUAAAAAAAUAUUUUCAGGGACUGAUGGCAUUUUUCCCGAAAAUCUGUCAUGCUGUGGUAGCAGUGAUAACUAAGAUUUCUAAAUCACCCUCUCUUAUUAGGCUGUAGUUUUAUCUCUGUUUUAAUAAGCAGGACCCUGAAUCAGAAGUAAAAACAAUAUUUCAUCAGAUUUCGCAGCUCUCUAUCACCACAAGAUCAUGUUCACGGGAAGAUAAUUCUAAAGAGCGUGCCCAGAUUAAAAGGUACAUCUUGAUAUAUACCGUGAAUGAAUACUCAACGUCAGUGCUUAACAAAAUCUGCCCACUGCUACUUUUCGCACAAUGUCGGCUGAAUUUAAGCUUUGAUUUUAAAACAAUGUGUAAAAUUUGCCAAAAUACCUAAGUGGCUUAGGAUCCUAAAAUCCAUUGAUUUUGCCUGUACUACAGCAACUGCAGCGGCAUGGUUAUGGCACUGCGGCUGUGCCACUGCAUGAAGACGCUUCUUACAUCUACGGAAGGGGGUUUUCCCAUUGAUGCAGUUAACCCGCCUCCCCCAGAGGUGGUAGUUAGAUCAACAGAAGAACUCUUCUAUCCACCGAGCUGCAUAUUUAUGUUGACCUAACUACAGCACUCAGGCAAUGUUCUUCACAGUCCUGAAUGACGUACCUAGGCUGAUCUCAUUUUUAAGUGUAGACCAGACUAUAGGCUCCUGAACCACGUACCCAGUUACCUUUCCCACCCUUUUUAUCGUGAAGACCACAUCUGAAGAUACCUUCUGCAGUGUCACCUUUUUGAAUCUGAAGAGAGAGAUGCUUGACUUCCCCCAAGUAGCAAAUUGUCAAAAACCUUUCAAUUCCACAGUUCUGAAUGGCCGCAUGGAAACUGUCCAGAAUCAUGCAAUUUCAAUCUGGUGUUGCACUGGAGAAGUGGCUCUGAAGCUGUAUUCACAAAGGACCCUCCAGAAAGAGAGGCUACAGAAAAGGUAGAGUAGUCAAGACCUCUGACACCAGCCAGGAAUGUGGGGUAAAAUAGCAGAGACCAUUCCUAUCUUAGAAAGGUCGAAAAGUUGGGGGAAAGGUAAAGUAGCACAGGAAAAUGAAUGGCAAUAUCAGACCAGCCCAAUGGUCCAUCUAGUGCAGUAGUUCAUCUUAUGGUGGCCAAUACUAAUAAUAUGUCUACUGGGAAAAAUUCUUCCUAACUCUAGUUAGCAGCUGUCUUAUGUCCUCAAGUAGGAGAGCUGAUACCCCCUUAUAAAUUCUAUCCUGGCUAGUCUAAUUGCAGAAGAAGAUCUUUUUUUCAGUAGUAACCUGUUGAACUCACUGCUCAGCGUAACACAAAGUUGUGCUAAAAAAUUAUCAGUUUUCAAUUAGUUGCCCUUGAUUUUCCCAUUUUUUGUCCUCUUGUACUUGUAUAGGGAGGGUGUGUGAUAUAUCUCUCCAUGCCAUCUCUUACGGGUCUCCUCACUAAACCAGGGUUAAUAUUUUUAACCUGCCCUCAUACAAAACUUUUCCCAAGCCUCUAGUAUUUUUCACCACCCUUCUCUGGAUCUUCUCUCAGAUAUCCUUUUUGAGAUGGAGUGACCAAAACAGAACACAAUAUUUAAAAUGAGGGAAUAGCUUCGAUUUCUAUAAUGACAGGAUAUUUUAAGUAUCUUCUGGUUUGAUUUCAAUCAGAUUUUAAAUGCGAUGCAAGUGUAAGGUGAUAAAAUGGGGGGCAUAUGGGUUUAUCAGUUUAAUCACAUACCUACUAGUCAGAGGCUGAUAUGAGCCCCCAGUAGGUUCAAGGGACAUGAUGAAUCUGGUAGGGAUGCUAACACCCAAGUGGAGGAGAAGUCAUUGUAAUGCACCCCCUCCCGAUGCUUUCUAUAUUAGCUUCCGGCUAGCAGGUUUAAAGUUCUCUAGCUAGUAAUCCCCUACAUUUUCAAAGCCCUUCUGUGCAUGUUAAAGAAGACCAUUCCUAAUGGAGGGCUGGAUUGUGCAACUACUGUUGACUUCACUGGGAAUUACUCCUAUUCAGUGGCUGCAUAAUCGAGCUCAGAAUGUGACAUAGCCCUUUUUUUUUUUUUGGUAGUUGUAGCUGACAGUACACAGUGGAGCAAUUGUUUUACCAUUAAAUUAAGAGUUAUGGAUCCAUUAUAGGUAUUAUGCUUCGAAUCAGACCAAAUAGUUGACUACCUAGCCACAUUAAAUCUACAAGAUGAAUGUUUAAAGCUAGCCUUGUAUGCUGAUUUUAAUAGAAUUUGCUGCAUGAAUGUAGUCUGUCUGGACCAUAGCUAUAAUGAGCAAGGUUUCUGAUAUCAUGUGCUACAGGGAUGCAGUCCUCAAAGUUGAAAUAUUGUUAAGACUUCUUAGCCCACAAACAUUUUGUUCAUCUGCAUGUUGUAAAUGGCAUAGAAGAAUAUUAAAAGUUUUAUCGCUA
Molecule: long non-coding RNA, 4748 nt
Organism: Chelonia mydas (Green sea turtle)
Lineage: Eukaryota; Metazoa; Chordata; Testudines; Cheloniidae
Exons: 2
Source: RefSeq, a predicted model, not a curated record